CGCUGCGCCUAUCGUUGCUCCUGUUGCUGUGCUGCUCGUCCAGCCCUCGUUCUCUCUCUUCACGUUUCUCAGCCAAGCCAUUCGGCUAAGAACCAUCACAUCAACAUAAUUGCGAAUGCUUACCGAAAACUGGGCUGAGAAACGGCUGCACUCGAGGGUUUACCCAACGUCAGCGUUACCCCUGCCUCCGCAGAACGCCGGAGUCACAGACCAAGGAGCUCGUGCGGUCUGUGCAGUUCUCCGGCCUCGUCAUCGCUGUUGCCACACACGAAAGAGAGCACCGGACUCCCUCGCUCAUUCUUGCGCAGCUGCGAGGGCCGCGCAGAGGCAGCAGCGGAGGAGGGAGAGGGUAGACGACGGACAGCUGCUUGGUGGUCGGUGCUAUAUAUGAAAUACAUCAGCGCAUUCUGCGGCUGCCUCUUUUUCUCUUGGCUGGUGUGUUGAACAGCGUGUGAAGGCAAAUCGGACUGAAGGCGAAAGCGGCGCUUGCGUUGCACGGAGCUCGAGUGACUGAAGAAGAGAAGGCGAUUCACCAGCGCCUCAUUUCAUCACGCCUCUUUUUCCAGCCCCUCCUCCCCAUGCACAUGCAUAGCUGCGCAGAUCUGUGGUCAGGUUCGUGAUGCACAAGGAACGGAGGACAAGCUUCCUCACCCCCUCCACUCGUCCACCGUUUCUUGCGCUCUUCUUCUUUGCUACUUCAUCGCUCUCUUUUUCCUUUUCGCACGUAG
Molecule: unclassified non-coding RNA, 728 nt
Filed under: Leishmania donovani
Lineage: Eukaryota; Euglenozoa; Kinetoplastea; Trypanosomatida; Trypanosomatidae
Description: gene:unknown
Source: RNAcentral